RNAcentral lists this ribosomal RNA (493 nucleotides) under Zelandopsocus sp. KY-2004. Its description in RNAcentral is "partial 16S ribosomal RNA". Lineage: Eukaryota; Metazoa; Arthropoda; Insecta; Psocodea; Pseudocaeciliidae. The record is from RNAcentral.
UGUCUUUUAGUUUAAAAUUUAAAGUCCAAUCUGCUCACUGAAAAUUUUAAAGAGCCGCAGUAUUUUGACUGUGCAAAGGUAGCAUAAUCAAUAGCUUUUUAAUUGAAAGCUAGAAUGAAAGAUUAGACAAGAAAAUAGUUUUCUUUAUUUUAAUAAAUUUAAUUUAAAAUUUAAGUGAAAAUUCUUAAAUGUAUUAAAAAGACGAGAAGACCCUAUAGAUUUUUAUUAAUUAAAAUUUAUUUUAUAAUUUAUAAGUUUAAGUUAAUUUAAUUGGGGUGAUGUUGUAAUAUAAAAAACUUAAUUUUAGAAAACCAUAAAUAAGUGAAUUUUUAGAUUUUAAUUUUUGAAAGAAAAGAUUAAAUUACCUUAGGGAUAACAGCGUAAUUUUAUUUACGAGUUCAUAUCUAUAAUAAAGUUUGCGACCUCGAUGUUGAAUUAAGAUAAAAUAUUGGAGUAGAAAUUAAUAUUCUUAGUCUGUUCGACUAUUAAAUUC